CACGGGGCUGCCCGCCGCCGCCAGCCCGUUGGCCAGAGGCCGCCGCCGCUCGAAGUACAGCCCCAGCAUGAUGAGCGACGGCUGGAAGUUGAGGGCCAGGCCCAGGCCUGCGGGCGAGGCGGUGCUGUGCCGGGGUCCCCGGAGAGCCCCUCCCUGGCCCCCACAGGAGGGAGGGGCCAGGCCCGGGAACCCAGCAGAUCCGGGAACCCAGCCGAGGGACUUCGAAGACUGUCCCUCAUAGGGAAACCGAGGACAGAUCUUGCAGCAAGAACCCCCGACCCCCAACCCAGCGGAGAGGAGACCAGGGGGCCCUCACCUGUGAGCACCCCAGCGGUCAGGUAGAGCUCCAGGAGGCGCGUGGCAAAGGAAGCUAGGAUCAUGCCCGCGGAAGCCAGCAGCCCACCCGCCAGCAUCACCGGGCGACAGCCAAAGCGGGUCACGAGGAUGCUGGACACGGGGCCUGUGGGCAGGGCAGGGUCACCACCCGGGUCCCGGGAUGGCUUGAGUCCUCUAAGGAAUAAGGUCACCUCCGGCUCAGGGACACAGAGAGGAGGGCAGUGUCUGGCCAAGGUCACACAGCUUGGAGGGGACAGGCCAAAGAGACAGCAUCCUGCGAGGGCAAGGCCCAGAGCACCCCAUCCUGCGAACCCAAACCCCAAGCGGAGCGGGGGCUUCCGCACCCCUUUAACCUUCACAGCCUCCAAGUCCCGCCCUGGCACAGACUGGGAUUCCUCCGCAGCCCCGCCUCCCAGGAUGGGAACUCCAGCAAGCCCCCACCUACAGGGCGCUGAAGGACGAGGGGAGGACGACGGGUCCCACCUGACUCUGCACCUCUGCAGGCUCCCUCUGAAGGACAACUGCUGGCCCCUCAGGGCCUCAGGUGGAAGGCGUCGGGAAGUGGAGCAGGCUAUGUGAGUCAAGGAUGGAACGAUGGUCCCAGAACAUCCCAGGAGGGUGUGACAGCCUCCAUCUAGAAGGUUCUAUCCUCAGGUCCCCAAGGCAUCUGCAGCACACCGUCCUCUGCUGUGGGUCUGUGAAGCAGCCACUCCAGCAGCAGGUGUCCCUAUCGUUGGCGUUCUCAGUCAUCUCUCUCCCCACUGACCCCCUUCCGUUCCUGUCCCUGUGGUCACCCGCCCAGCUAUGGACCUUCGCGCCUAACUAUGAGUCCCUCCAUACAUCACCUAUCCCCCACUCACCUGUCUAUACUCCAUCCCCCGUGUAGCCACGAAUCCAUCCAGCACCCCCUCACCACUCACACCUCUCCAAUCACCCAUCAGUGUCUGUCCACCACAUCUGCGCAUCCUCCCAUGUCCCUAACCACCCAGUCAGUGACCCCCCCCCCGCCAUUUAAGGCCAUCCACUUGCACACACAGACCUCCACCUACCCAGACGCACAUCCCCUGGUCCACCCAUUCGCCUGUCCACCAUCCAUUAAGCACAGGACCACUCAUCCAUCCGUGGGCUGGUGUGGGCAGCCACCACCCGCUCUGCCCAUGCACGCAUUCAUCCUGCGCUGCUUCUCUCCUGCAGCAGGAGUGGGCACCGUACACUACCCUGCCCAUGAAGCCCCGAGGGGGCACUGCCUGGCUCCAGCCAGCCCCAUCUGCCCCGUUUUCCCCUGCAGGACAGUGGUGCCUGUCCAUUCCCUCUGCUAGCUGCCAGCCCUGCUGUCCUCCGCACUUUCUGGCAACCUCACUGUAUGAAACUCCCCAAAUCCUCCUCCACGUCAAGUGUCAAAACAGCCCAGUUUAAGUGCUUUCAGGAUUUCCACGGAGCCUGACCGCAAAGAGGCUCCCACUCACGCGGACGAGCCCUCCAGCUUGCCGUAGAGCCAGCCGUUCUGGGCCUCGGGCACCAACACCUCCACCACGUCCCCAGCGGAGAAGCGCAGCAGCGUGUGGUUGGCGCCCUCCGAGUGGGAGACCAGGGCGCGGACUCUCCUGGCGCCCCCGCCGCCGCCCGGGCGCUCGCCAAAGGAGUUGGAGCGCGAGCUUUGGGCGCUGCCGCUGUAGAGCGAGGCUGUGGGCGGGAGAGCGCGGCGGCACGUGGGCAGGAAGUUCUUCCUGGCGUCUGCCCUCGAUCCCUCCUGCUGCAGCCCCACCCC
This 2104-nucleotide long non-coding RNA is filed under the name Homo sapiens (human). RNAcentral's name for it is "long non-coding RNA NONHSAT086657.2". Lineage: Eukaryota; Metazoa; Chordata; Mammalia; Primates; Hominidae. The record is from RNAcentral.